UGACGAAGUUCGCAAGCGAAGUGAAUGUGAUCCACCGGCGGGACACUCUGCGCGCGUCGAAGAUCAUGCAGGAUCGGGCCAUGAACAAUCCGAAAAUCAAAUUCAUCUGGAACACGGCCGUCGAGGAGGUUCUUGGGGCUCCCGGCGCCGGAGUUUCCGGCCUUCGGCUGGUGAACCUGCAAACGAAGCAGAAAUCCCAGUUGGAGGUGGACGGGUUGUUCAUCGCGAUCGGGCACAAUCCCAACACGGAGAUUUUCAAAGGCCAGAUCGAUCUGGACGAACUGGGCUACGUUCGAACCCAGCCCAAUUCCACUCGAACCAAUGUC
This 326-nucleotide unclassified non-coding RNA is filed under the name uncultured bacterium. RNAcentral's name for it is "contains 16S-23S intergenic spacer region". The record is from RNAcentral.